GAUGAAGAACGUAGCGAAAUGCGAUAAGUAGUGUGAAUUGCAGAAUUCAGUGAAUCAUCGAAUCUUUGAACGCACAUUGCGCCCGCCAGCACUCUGGCGGGCAUGCCUGUUCGAGCGUCAUUUCGACCAUCAGGCCCUCCGGGCUUGUGUUGGGGCUCCCUGCGGCUGUCCGCAGGCCCUGAAAACCAGUGGCGGGCUUGCAAAGUCACACCGAGCGCAGUAGAUUUUUUUCAUCUCGCUCAGGGCGUGCGUGCGGGCGCCGGCCGUAAAAGACGAGAGCGCGGCCUCGGCCGCCCACAAAUACCACAAGGUUGACCUCGGAUCAGGUAGGAAUACCCGCUGAACUUAAGCAUAUCAAUAAGCGGAGGA
RNAcentral lists this unclassified non-coding RNA (369 nucleotides) under soil metagenome. RNAcentral's name for it is "partial contains 5.8S ribosomal RNA, internal transcribed spacer 2, and large subunit ribosomal RNA". The stretch from base 1 to 120 matches the Rfam family "5.8S ribosomal RNA", at positions 35 to 154 of the family's 154-position model. The record is from RNAcentral.